This 2869-nucleotide ribosomal RNA is filed under the name Xanthomonas arboricola. RNAcentral's name for it is "bacterial LSU rRNA". It matches the Rfam family "Bacterial large subunit ribosomal RNA". The record is from RNAcentral. Lineage: Bacteria; Pseudomonadati; Pseudomonadota; Gammaproteobacteria; Lysobacterales; Lysobacteraceae.
AUAAGCGCACACGGUGGAUGCCUAGGCGGUCAGAGGCGAUGAAGGACGUGGUAGCCUGCGAAAAGUGUCGGGGAGCUGGCAACAAGCUUUGAUCCGGCAAUAUCCGAAUGGGGAAACCCACUGCUUCGGCAGUAUCCUGCAGUGAAUUCAUAGCUGCUGGAAGCGAACCCGGUGAACUGAAAUAUCUAAGUAACCGGAGGAAAAGAAAUCAACCGAGAUUCCCUAAGUAGUGACGAGCGAACGGGGAACAGCCCUUAAGCUGGAAUGGCUUUAGAAAAACAAUCUGGAAAGAUUGGCCAUAGAAGGUGAUAGCCCUGUAUUUAAAAGGGCCACUCCAGUGAAGACGAGUAGGGCGGGGCACGUGAAACCCUGUCUGAAUAUGGGGGGACCAUCCUCCAAGGCUAAAUACUCCUGACCGACCGAUAGUGAACCAGUACCGUGAGGGAAAGGCGAAAAGAACCCCGGAGAGGGGAGUGAAAUAGAUCCUGAAACCGUGUGCGUACAAGCAGUAGGAGCUCGCAAGAGUGACUGCGUACCUUUUGUAUAAUGGGUCAGCGACUUACUGUUCGUGGCAAGCUUAACCGUAUAGGGGAGGCGAAGGGAAACCGAGUCUGAUAAGGGCGCAUAGUCGCGGGCAGUAGACCCGAAACCGGGUGAUCUAGUCAUGGCCAGGGUGAAGGUGCCGUAACAGGUACUGGAGGCCCGACCCCACGUCUGUUGCAAAAGACGGGGAUGAGCUGUGAUUAGGAGUGAAAAGCUAAUCGAACCCGGAGAUAGCUGGUUCUCCUCGAAAGCUAUUUAGGUAGCGCCUCGGACGAAUACUACUGGGGGUAGAGCACUGUUAUGGCUAGGGGGUCAUCGCGACUUACCAAACCAUUGCAAACUCCGAAUACCAGUACGUACUAUCCGGGAGACACACGGCGGGUGCUAACGUCCGUCGUGAAAAGGGAAACAACCCAGACCCACAGCUAAGGUCCCAAAUUCACUGCUAAGUGGAAAACGAUGUGGAAAGGCACAGACAGCCAGGAGGUUGGCUUAGAAGCAGCCACCCUUUAAAGAAAGCGUAAUAGCUCACUGGUCGAGUCGGUCUGCGCGGAAGAUUUAACGGGGCUAAGCAGUGAACCGAAGCUUGGGGUGCAUAAAACUUGUUUUAUGCGCGGUAGAGGAGCGUUCCGUAAGCCUGCGAAGGUGGAUUGAGAAGUCUGCUGGAGGUAUCGGAAGUGCGAAUGCUGACAUGAGUAACGAUAAUGCGGGUGAAAACCCCGCACGCCGAAAGCCCAAGGUUUCCUUGCGCAACGUUAAUCGACGCAGGGUUAGUCGGUCCCUAAGGCGAGGGCGAAAGCCGUAGUCGAUGGGAAGCAGGUUAAUAUUCCUGCACCUCGCGUGAGUGCGAUGGAGGGACGGAGAAGGUUAGGUGUACCGGGCGUUGGUUGUCCCGGGGAAAGGCGGUAGGUUUGAAUCUUUGGCAAAUCCGGGAUUCUUUAAGACCGAGCACCGAGACGAGCCUUUAUGGCGAAGUCACUGAUACCACGCUUCCAGGAAAAGCUCCUAAGCUUCAGCUCACGAAGACCGUACCGUAAACCGACACAGGUGGGUAGGAUGAGAAUUCUCAGGCGCUUGAGAGAACUCGGGUGAAGGAACUAGGCAACAUGGCACCGUAACUUCGGGAGAAGGUGCACCCUUUUUGGUGGCUCAUGCGAGCUAUAGCUGAAGAGGGUCGCAGAAACCAGGCCGCUGCGACUGUUUAUCAAAAACACAGCACUCUGCAAACACGAAAGUGGACGUAUAGGGUGUGACGCCUGCCCGGUGCUGGAAGGUUAAUUGAUGGGGUCAGCCGCAAGGCGAAGCUCUUGAUCGAAGCCCCAGUAAACGGCGGCCGUAACUAUAACGGUCCUAAGGUAGCGAAAUUCCUUGUCGGGUAAGUUCCGACCUGCACGAAUGGCGUAACGACAGCGGCGCUGUCUCCACCCGAGACUCAGUGAAAUUGAAAUCGCUGUGAAGAUGCAGCGUUCCCGUGGCAAGACGGAAAGACCCCGUGAACCUUUACUAUAGCUUUACACUGAACGUUGAGUUCGUCUGUGUAGGAUAGGUGGGAGGCUAUGAAACUGUGGCGCUAGCUGCAGUGGAGCCAUCCUUGAAAUACCACCCUGUCGUGCUUGACGUUCUAACCUAGAUCCGUUAUCCGGAUCAGGGACCGUGUAUGGUGGGUAGUUUGACUGGGGCGGUCUCCUCCUAAAGAGUAACGGAGGAGCACGAAGGUACGCUCAGCGCGGUCGGACAUCGCGCACUGUGUGCAAAGGCAUAAGCGUGCUUGACUGCAAGAUCGACGGAUCAAGCAGGUACGAAAGUAGGUCUUAGUGAUCCGGUGGUUCUGUAUGGAAGGGCCAUCGCUCAACGGAUAAAAGGUACUCCGGGGAUAACAGGCUGAUACCGCCCAAGAGUUCAUAUCGACGGCGGUGUUUGGCACCUCGAUGUCGGCUCAUCACAUCCUGGGGCUGUAGUCGGUCCCAAGGGGAUGGCUGUUCGCCAUUUAAAGUGGUACGCGAGCUGGGUUCAGAACGUCGUGAGACAGUUCGGUCCCUAUCUGCCAUGGGCGUUGGAAGUUUGAGAGGGGCUGCUCCUAGUACGAGAGGACCGGAGUGGACGAACCUCUGGUGUUCCGGUUGUCACGCCAGUGGCAUUGCCGGGUAGCUAUGUUCGGAAGCGAUAACCGCUGAAAGCAUCUAAGCGGGAAGCGCGCCUCAAGAUGAGACUUCCCGGGGCACAAGCCCCCUAAAGGAACCAUAUAGACUAUGUGGUUGAUAGGUCAGGUGUGUAAGUACAGCAAUGUAUUGAGCUAACUGAUACUAAUGAUCCGUGCGGCUUGACC